Molecule: ribosomal RNA, 481 nt
Filed under: uncultured bacterium
Lineage: Bacteria
Description: partial 16S ribosomal RNA
Rfam family: Bacterial small subunit ribosomal RNA
Source: RNAcentral
GAUGAACGCUGGCGGCGUGCUUAACACAUGCAAGUCGAACGAAGCACUUUAUUUGAUUUCCUUCGGGACUGAUUAUUUUGUGACUGAGUGGCGGACGGGUGGGUAACGCGUGGGUAACCUGCCUUGUACAGGGGGAUAACAGUUGGAAACGGCUGCUAAUACCGCAUAAGCGCACGGCAUCGCAUGAUGCAGUGUGAAAAACUCCGGUGGUAUAAGAUGGACCCGCGUUGGAUUAGCUAGUUGGUGAGGUAACGGCCCACCAAGGCGACGAUCCAUAGCCGACCUGAGAGGGUGACCGGCCACAUUGGGACUGAGACACGGCCCAAACUCCUACGGGAGGCAGCAGUGGGGAAUAUUGCACAAUGGGCGAAAGCCUGAUGCAGCGACGCCGCGUGAGCGAAGAAGUAUUUCGGUAUGUAAAGCUCUAUCAGCAGGGAAGAUAAUGACGGUACCUGACUAAGAAGCACCGGCUAAAUACGUG